Long non-coding RNA from Egretta garzetta (little egret), 7213 nucleotides. RefSeq lists it as uncharacterized. The transcript has 5 exons. NCBI's taxonomy places the organism in Eukaryota, Metazoa, Chordata, Aves, Pelecaniformes, Ardeidae. The record is from RefSeq and is a predicted model, not a curated record.
CGGCGCCGCGGACGCCCGUGGAGCCGGGGGCUGAGCCGCUCCGUUGCAUUUCAGGGCGCUGGGGACGUGCAGUACCAGUGCGUGCGCUGCUCCAUCCAGUCUGACGGAGACAGCAUCACCGUGACGGCAGAAUUCGCUCCAAGCGGCUCGCAGCAGUUCUUAAACAGCAGAACUGUGCUGCUGGUCCCUGGAAAAAUCACCUUUGACAGAGAACGCUAUCUGGGCCUGAAAGAAGAGAAUCAUGACGCUGAGAUCACCCUUGUCUUCCUGAAAGACGAAGUGAUUGAUCCCGUGCCUGUAAUCAUAGGAAGCUGCGUGGGUGGACUUCUCUUGCUGGCGUUCAUUGUCCUGCUCCUCUGGAAAUGUGGCUUUUUCAAAAGAAACUAUAAAACUGUGAUGGAGCAAGAAGAUACAUCCUGAAGACUAAGCUGGCCAAAGCAGAAAGCUCUGUAUUCUUUCACCAGCUUUUUAGAAAUAGCAGAGUCAAAAUCUGGCUAAGAUGCAAAAUGAUUCAUAUUCCCUGGUAAAGCUGUGGCACUCCAGAUCUUGGGACUCCCCCAAAUUGCUGUUUUGACCACAGGGACCCAGCUUUUUUGGGCGAUCCAGUUGCCUGCUUGUUAAAUUUGAACUGACUAUUCAUCAUAGAAGGACUGCCUGGUACUGAUAAACUAGACUCCCCAUGAGAAAUUUUGCUUUAAUGUAGAUAUGGUAGGAAAAUUCAUCUUGGAGCCUGUUAGAUUUAUGUAUUGGAUUUCAGUCCUAGUUGCUGUAAUGCUGAGUGGUUUUAAAUUGAUUUUAGUACCGAGUAGCUUCAGAAUAGAUUGAAAUAGAAAUGAUGAAUUAGGGGAAGCUUCCCACCCUGCUGUUACUCAUGAAAAUGGAGAGAGAAGCAUUUUACAUAUACGUAUGUGUAUAUAUAUACAAAUUUGUGCGUUUUAAUACAGUAAAGUAUGUCCCUUGAUGUCUCCUGGAAUCAGAAGCUCAUGCAUCUGGCAAUUAGUUUUUUGCACCUCACAAUCUUAUUUCUGAUUUCCCAUUUUCAGUUGCUUUCAAAUCCUGAUUUGCUCACAAAUGAAAACUUGUAUCACGGACUUCAUUGCCAGUUCAGACAGACCCCUUCUCUGCCAGGAGGUAUUUCCCUAAGUUAGGAUGGUUCACCACGCCUCCUCCGGAGCAGCCGUGUUCGAAUUGAGGGCAGAGCCAAGCAGCGAGCUGCAGUGUCGACCACAGCAGCGUUGCCAUACUCCCUGCUGGAUGCGUGACAGAAAGUAGGGUGACUCAGGAGCAAUCUUGGUUUUUCAGCUGCAGAUUAUCAGUAAUAGCAAUUUAUAGGCUUUGGGGAAAGAAGGUGCCUAGCCAAACCCUGUGGCUGGCUUCACCCAGUACCAGGUGUAUUCUUUCCUGAGCAGUGAAAUGAUCUCAGGACCCCUCAGGUUCUCGCUGUUUUUAAAGAAGGCUGAGUACAGGCGCUUGAUACUAUUCCUCUCUUUCUCUGUCCCUAUAGCGUAGUUGGUUUAUUUCUGUUGUGUUUGGCUAACCAUAAAUCCCACAAAUCUAAUGUGUGUUUACACACAGCAGUAGAUUAAACGUAGAUUUUCAUUCAGACCUUCAGAAGGCAAAAAACCAGUUCCUGUCUCCUUUGGCUUAACCAAUAUUGCCUGAUGGUUAACUAAAGUUAACAAGCAAACUGUGGCCUUCAACAUUCAGGUUCCCAGGCACUGCUAUUAAUACAUCUCUUUAAGGCUGUUACAGGAAUCACCUUUGUGAUGGGCAUCCUGCAGGCUGUACAACCCUGGGUGUGCUCUAGCUCUAAAUUUGGCUGCCGAACAGCCAGAAGUCAAAGGUGCUAAGCACACCAGCCUACCCUCUUAGGACGAAAGCAAGAGGUACCACAGCAAGAUACUCUUUGAGGAAUAUAGGGCCCUUGUGUGACUUUCAACAGUACGAGAGAGGUGCAGAGAUCUCGCGCUGCCAUCCAGCUCAGUCAGCAGCUGCAGCCAUUUUUCCGGCUUGAAUUUCUUUCUCUCUCCCCCCUGGCUGGUUGUGGAGUUCCUUGGAGCUACAUACGUAGAGUGAGUCACUCCAAAUCCGCUUACAAGUGCCAGGGAUUGAGGAAAUGAGACUUCCUAGGUGAGAGCUCAGAAAGGAAAUUACUGCCUGAAUGAAAAAACCAGCUGUGUCAGGCUUUUUGUCAUAACAGCUCUGUACUGUUUGGAAAGAAAUGUGCUUUGCCUGGUCUGAAUGGCUUUACUGUCACACCCCCACCCCCCCCCGCCCCCCGCUUUGUGUAAAUCUUUUUUGGUAGUGUUUUUAAUUGCAUCUUCUUUGAAAAUAAAUUCUUGCAAGAGAAGCCUGUGUAUUGCACUUGUUGGCUGAAGGUGGUUUGAGCAUUUUGCUGUACCCUUUCCCAGGUAGCAUAACAAGUCUCUGGGGCUGCUCUCAAUCACUGAGUCCAGAUUUUGGCAGAACAAGCUUGUUCUUCUUUGCAUGUCCCUGUGUGGAAGGACCUUUAUGAGGAAUUAAGUACCUGGAAAGCAGAAUAUGCUGGUCUGAGAGAGGUCAUGCCUUUGAAGAGCUUCAGGCAAGAGAGCAGCUCCUGUGGAGCAGCUGGGCACAGUACAUAUGUAUACCAGCAGUUGUGGUCUUGCUGCCCAUCCUCACUUCUCCAUUCUCCAGACCUCCAUUUCACACUGAAGUCCUACGUGUUCCGAGGCACCUGGAGAUCUCUACAGGCAGAUCAUACUUGGUCUGUUCUCCCGACCCUGCUAGUUGGGCUGGAGGGGCUUGUUACUCUACCUUUGUCUUGCUCUGCUGGGGAGAGACGACUCUCAGUGCUGCUGGUAGCCCAGGAGAGCAAGAACAGAUGCUUCUUCUCUGCCCAUCAGCCGGUGCUGAUCAUCCGUCCCCAUCCGCUGCCUUAGCUCUGAGUCAUGGCAUGGCUCCGUCGCUCCAGGUUUGGAUAUUGGCUUCUGGUAGGUGAGCUUGGCCUGAUAGAUUUUGGCUAUUUUUGCGGUGAUCUGACCAAGGAGUAGGACGUGUGAAGGUGGGUGGUGGCUGACAAGAGCUGAUGUAUCCGAGAUAGCUUUUUAAUUGUAUCCUUGAAGGGGAGGACAGGAUGCCUUUUGCGAUGCUAUUUUAGUCAGGGGUGAUACCAGCUGCUUAUGCCUUUCUCAUAUGCCAGGGAGAUUUGCAAGCCUUGGGCUAUAAUUCCCUCAGUGUGUUCAGAAGCCAACAGGUUCAUGUAUUGAACUGGGGAGUGUGGUGGCCUGGUGGAUAGCAGGAUUAAGUGAACUGCAAGUCUGCUGCUCAGGAAACCUUAUCAGGAAAAGGGCAUAAGUAGUUCUUCAUUAUUAAGUGCCGGCUGCUGACGUAAGAGCAUCAGAUAGGAGCCAUGAAGUGCUCUGCAGAGAGCCUGUUGGGGCAGCUUUAUUUGGAGACUAAUUGGAUUGCAGCUCAAAAGAGACAUUUCCUGUGUCUUAUUAUAACAGGAUGAACGAUCUGGAAUGGAGCAGCGCUGCUGCAAGCAGGGUGCUCCGACUCUCCGCCAGCUUGGCUAAACCGGCUCCUGUGCUGUCUGCGCAGCGCAGCUGGGACGCGCCAGCCUCUCGGUGGGGGUAACUGGCUUGGAGCACGGCCAGCCUGCGGCGCGAAGGCAGGGGCAGGUCCCAGGCUGAGGUUAAUCGUGAAACCUUUUCCUCUAGGGGUCACGUCUGAGCAGCACGGAUGUUUUCCUAUGGCUGGAAAAAGUUGCCAGUUGGUAAUUUUAGGGAGGAAAGGGUGGAGGCCCCACCUUAGACUUUCUAGCUGUUUAUGUGAUGAAGGCAAAGGAAGGGGAUGAAGGUGUCUCCUCUGCGCUUGCAGCAAGGUAAGCUCUGAUAGAGCUGUCAAGCCGGGACCAGGUUCAUAUCUUUCCAGGUCAGGAUUGAUACGCAUUGGCAAAGAAGUAAAAAAGUGAUCUGUCAAGUAUAUUCGAGAGCAGGGUUUCACCUUUAAGUCAGUGGUUAAUGUGAAUACACAUUUUAUUAAACCCAUUCAGCUUUCAGGCCUUUGAUUUAACAUUCUCCUCUUAUUCCCCAGUGAUGCUUUCAUUGGCUGACUGUAGAAGGUGAAAACAUUGCAAUGCAGCACUGCGUAAUGCUGCCGUUCCAGCUAUCAUCGCACCCAGUCUCCUAGUGGUGUUUUAUGUGCAUUUUAAUUUAAUUUCUCUUAUCUGACUCGGUGCCAGCUCUCUCACAGAACAGGGCAUGAUGGAUGAGUUUCAUUAGAUGUGCAGUAUUUUUCUUCCCUCUCUCUGUUCCUGUUUCUCAAGCACUUCAACUUCUUGGGUUGGCUAAUGAUAACAGGACCUCCUGCAUUCUGUACAGGAGAUUCAAGACUUGGGGAAGCAACCUGGAAUGCACUUGAAGGCUGAAAACUGCUCUGUUGGAAAUGCUGAGCGGAAUCAAAGAGAGAAUAUAUUCUGGAACUUCAGCAUACUUCCAUUUCUCACUGCUGCAGACAGGUUUGGAUGCUCCAGUGGAUAAUGACAGAAAGACUCUUUUCACAGAUUCCCUUUCUAGGCAAAAAAAAUUGGAAUGUUUUUCUAGUAGCUCCUGAAAGAAAGGUUUCCUUUUCCAUUGUGGCUGGGUGUGCAGGGGUGCUUGUUAGGAGGACAAAUAUUGAGGCUGAUUUUUGUCAAUCUUUCACUGGCAAGUAGCAACCUACUUCUUAUUCACACUGCAAAGUCACAGCGGGGAAUGGAGCGCUCUUUGCUGCAGGCUGCACGCACGUUUCUUUGUUCUUGCAUCCAAACCCAUCAUCUUCAGAAAGCAGCUUGUGCUCGAUGUAGCUCAUUUCCUUGUGUGUGAGCUGUGGUUUAAAAGCAGCUUCCUCUUUCAACCUGUUCAACUUUUCCCCCUUGGGUUUGGGUUUUUUUUUUUUCAGAUGUUGACCUACAAGUAUGGGUCAUCAUCUAUGAGAAAAAAAGACACUGAUGGGGAGAGCCGAUAUCUGCCUCUUCCAAUGUUCAUUUCCUUGCCAAAGUAGUUUAUCUCCUAUUUACAUCCUCUGGUCCUUGUCUCCUUUCUAUUUCAGUAGCUGGUCUGACGCCUGUUUCUAAAGCAAUGCGACUGCAUCACUCGCGUAUUUGCUGCAGGAGCAUUUCCAGCACUUCAGAAAUGUCUUGGCAUCUUGUGAGUCAGCCAUCGUGUGUUCAGGAGCCGAUGUUUUCUGUUGCACUUGAUAGCUCCGUAAAGGGUGGGGAUGGCUGAGAGAAUGAGUGCCCCGAGAUGAUCAUUAGGAGCUGGAAGUGAACAAGACAAGUGCCUAAAACGGGCACCUCCAGCAGUCACACGUGAAUCACGCCCGUCCUGGCCAGGGCUGUCUGCCAGUGCCUGGAAAAGGCACCGUCGCUUUUGGGUGCUAUUUGAAGAUGUUAUUGGGCUGAACUUGAAAUGUUUCUAUGGUACAAUGCUGCAGAGAGACAGAUGUGACGCCGCUGUGUUUCAAAUGCCUCCGUGUCAGAGCAGGGGUCUGAAGUUUAAUUUCCGCAGUCCCUUUACGUGGCAUUUGUGGGCUCCGUGGCUGGGCCAAGUUCAGCUCUGGGACAGCUGAAUACCAAAGAGCUACUGACAGGUGGAGAGAAAUGUAAUGAGGAGCAAUCUGGGCGGACAGGGACGCGUAUCCUGUGACUACACGUGAAUAAUGAAAAAGCAAUUUCCGAGAGCAGAGUGAGGAGUUACAUACAGGUAUAAUGUGUUGGAGGGGUGGGGGAGAGAGAGAAAGGGAGAACUUUGGUGCUGGAGGAGAAAUCCUCCCUGACUGAGAAAACAGCCCUCAUGGGAAAGGAGCAGAACUAUUUUUUUCCAUGGGAAAUUCAAAAUGUUGGACUCCAGAAGGGAGAUAUCUUACAGAAGAGAUCCAGCCUCAGUCCCUUGAGAAGGACUAAGAGAAACUACUGUUUUUUUGUCUUUAACUGAUGAUGAUGAGAUUUUGUUAGGUUAUUUACUCCCUCCCCCAGGGACGAAACUGCUUACAUUUUAACAACCCAUGAGUACUUUGAGAAAAAAAACCUGAUAAUCUUGAUUUCCGGGCAAGAAAAGAAACGUGGUUGUGAAAACUACAGGUGAUAAGAACAAUAACUGCAAGAAAGUGCCAACACCACUGUUGUCAGCACAAAUCUAGCCUGUGCUGAGCAGCUUUUUAUUCAAAAACAGCUAUUGCAACCGUUUUUCUACUUGAUGGCUCUAAAAACCAAGAAAAGUAUCAGUUUUACAUCCUCUUUUUUUUUUUUUUUUCCUCCAGUGAUCAAACCUGGUUUACAUCUUUGGGUCACACCUAUAACAGGAACACUUCUUGCUCAUAAGGAACGUUUUUUCUAAGCUGUGUAAAUCCUUUCUCGCAUUAAUUAACCUGGAAAAUCAUUGCAAAACCUCAUAGCAGUCCUAUGUCUGUGCCAGUAAGUAAAACCAGGCCAGGAGGCAGCAUGCUAUUUAACUGCUAGUGAGUUCCCUGGUCCUGUGCAGUCACCCAGGCAGAUGAAGAAGAGAGGGAUGGAGAGAGGGGAUCUCUGGACACCACCAAGGGCUGAGUUGUCUCCACUGAUACUUUGCUUGUCCAUGAACUUCGGGUGUUCUUAGUGCAGCCGGAGCAAUGGUCCUGAGACGUGGGUUAUAGCGGCUGUUUAGUCCCAUCCCUGGAGCAAUUCCAGCAGGGCCAAGGCAAGCUGCUGGUGUUCUUGUGGGACCGGACCCAUGAUCAGAAAUGAUGCUCAGCUGUCACCCAGGGACUUGCGCUUGCAAAGUGUCUCACCUAGAAGCAGGCUGGGCAGAAGAUCAGGUGGUGGAUCCUUCAGGAUGCUCAUGUCUCCAUACAGCUCUGAUUCCUGGGGCUGGGUCAGUCUCCCCAUGCCCAGCCCCAGCUUGGCUCUGGGGUCCAGGCAGUGGAGGGACUGAGCCUACCUUUCUUCCUUACUCAUUUCUGGCCUCAUGGACCACUGUGGUCUCCUUUUUCCCUGCAGAAGUGUGUUUUCCCGGAGGGUUUUGUCUCCUUCGGUUAUUAAAUGUUUUAAGAGUUUUUGGUUGUGCUUUGGGUUUUCAUGCAGAGUAUCUUUAAGACUGGAAUUAGCGACUAUCUGGCCUGUAGGCAUCUGGUAAGGAGGGGUGGAUACAGUGGGCAAACAUUGUUUGAGGGCUCCAGGAGGGGCCUGGGGAGCAGCCAACGUGUUUUGUGAGAU